RNAcentral lists this ribosomal RNA (812 nucleotides) under uncultured fungus. RNAcentral's name for it is "eukaryotic LSU rRNA". It matches the Rfam family "Eukaryotic large subunit ribosomal RNA", at positions 24 to 664 of the family's 3401-position model. The record is from RNAcentral. Lineage: Eukaryota; Fungi.
CCCGCUGAACUUAAGCAUAUUAAUAAGCGGAGGAAAAGAAACUAACAAGGAUUCCCCUAGUAACGGCGAGCGAAAAGGGAAUAGCUCAAAUUUAAAAUCUCCGGUCCCUCGGGUCGGCGAAUUGUAGUUUUGAGGGGUGCUCUCUGGCGUUGGGCUGGGCCUAAGUCCCUUGGAACAGGGUAUCAUAGAGGGUGAGAAUCCCGUCUGUGGCUCGGACUCCGACCCUACAUGUGGCAACCCCGAAGAGUCGGGUCGUUUGGGAAUGCGGCCCCAAAUGGGUGGUAAACUUCAUCUAAAGCUAAAUACCGGCGAGAGACCGAUAGCGAAAAAGUACCGUGAGGGAAAGAUGCAAAGAACUUUGAAAAGAGAGUUAAAAAGUGCUUGAAAUUGCUGAAAGGGAAGCGCUGGAGUACCAAUGCUGCGGCGGGCAUUAUCAACCAAGGGUGGAUUCGCACGCUUGGAGCGGUGACCGUAAGGCGCCGCCUUCGCGCGUCGGUGUUCAUCCCGGGUGCACUAGUGUCCGUCGCGGUCAGCGUCGGCUGGUUUUUUUCGCCUGGGGGAAAAUGGUGGCGGGUAAGGUGGUUCCCUUCGGGGUCCGUUAAGACCGCUGCAGAUACCCCGGGUCCGGCCGAGGAAGGGAGUAAGCCCUUUACGGUGCGCGCCUAGCGAGGCGCCCGGGCGCUGGUUGUUGCGUGCGGGGAUGGGGAGCUAAGCUGCCCGCUCCAAUCGUGAUGCCACCCGCCUGUGGAUCGCCGUCAGUCGCGCCAAAGACGCUGGCAAAAUGGUCUUCAUCGACCCGUCUUGAAACACGG